This 555-nucleotide ribosomal RNA is filed under the name Triticum aestivum (bread wheat). RNAcentral's name for it is "partial small subunit ribosomal RNA". The record is from RNAcentral. Lineage: Eukaryota; Viridiplantae; Streptophyta; Magnoliopsida; Poales; Poaceae.
AUGAAGAGGGCAGGAAACAUUGCUUCCCUUUUUGCGAGACAUGCUCAGAAGACAAGGAAGAAAGCUAGUAUGCCGGAUGUGCAUGGGACCGCGGAUGUGGCCGAAGAGCAAAUAAGAGAAUUUGUGGUUCAAGAGCAAACUCAAGAAACAGUGGUGUCUAUGUCAAAUGUCACGGUUGAGAAAACUCCAGAACCAAUGGUUCGACUUGAAGAUGUCUUAAACAUGAUCCUGGGGAAAGGCCACCCAUUGCUAGUUAUCCUGUCAAUGAUCAAGACGCAGUUCAGAGAGCAUAUAUCCUUAAGGGUGCAUUCAAACCUUAUGCACAUAACUUUGAAGCAAGAAGAAUUGGGAAUAGAGUUCGGUCAUUCAGUCCUUUUUGGCUUCAUAAACAUAGUUGGCUUCAAUAUAGUAUCAAGGAGAAAGCUGCAUUUUACUUUGUAUGCUUCUUGUUCAAAGAGAAAAAAACUCGUGGCAAGGGAACUAAUGCAUUUACUGAUGGCGGUUGGAGAAAUUGGAAUAGAGAUGAUGCUCUUGAUAAGCACGUUGGUGGUGUAA